GAUCCGGGCUCAGGAUGAACGCUGGCGGCGUGCCUAACACAUGCAAGUCGAACGGAGCUGCUUUGAUGAAGUUUUCGGAUGGAUUUAAAGCAGCUUAGUGGCGGACGGGUGAGUAACGCGUGGGUAACCUGCCUCACACUGGGGGAUAACAGUUAGAAAUAGCUGCUAAUACCGCAUAAGCGCACGGUUCCGCAUGGAACAGUGUGAAAAACUCCGGUGGUGUGAGAUGGACCCGCGU
Molecule: ribosomal RNA, 238 nt
Filed under: uncultured bacterium
Lineage: Bacteria
Description: partial 16S ribosomal RNA
Rfam family: Bacterial small subunit ribosomal RNA
Source: RNAcentral